ACGUCCCGCUCCCACAAACGUCACUGGCUAUUGGCUGGACGGAGGGGGCGUGGAAGGCGCGCCUGUGCGCAGGAGGCGGGGCCAAACGAGGGGGCGGGGCCGAAGGAGGCGUGUGCGACAGGUGGAGAGGGACUGGCAAACCUCAGCGCUAAGGCCAGGGGUCGCAGAAGAAGCAUAAAUUGAAAGAUUAUUCAAAUAGCACUGGGCAACAGAAUGGGUUCAAGCCCCACGACAAGGUGAUCUUCCUGCUCCUGCAAUGAACAGGGACCUGCUGAUUGAGAGGGAAUCCAUUUCGCAUUUGUGGGAAGAUCAGAAGUGUAUUUCUUGGAGUCCAGAGCACCAUUCCAGGGGGAAGGGCUGCAGGAGGACAGUACCUGCUGGCCUUACACAGCUAAUUCCGUGGAUGAAAGGAUGAUAUAAAGGUUCCAAGUCCAAGACUCACCAGCAUGGCCGCUAUACCUGUUUAUUCUCCAUUUUGUUCAGUGAGUCAUCAUUAAGGCAAAUACACAUCCAUUUCCUAAGGUCAAACUUUCAUCCUAACGUAGUUUGGUGCAGCCAUUAUGGAAAACAGUAUGGAGAUUCAUUAAAAAACUAAAAAUAGACUUACCUUGUGAUCCAGCAAUCCCACUCCUGGGCAUAUAUCUGGAGAAAACUCCAGUUCGAAAAUAUACAUGCACUCCAAUGUUCAUAGCAGUGCUAUGUACAACAGCCAAGACAUGGAAGCGACCUAAAUGUCCAUCGACAGAAGACUGGAUAAAGACAAUGUGGUACACACACACACCCACCCACCCACACACACACAUACACAUAUACACAUACACAGUGGAAUACUACCAGCCAUAAAAAGAAUGCAGCAACAUGCAUGGACUUCAUACUAACUGAAGUAAGUCAGAAAAAGAAAGAAAAAUACCAUGUGAUAUCACUUAUAUGUAGAAUCUAAAAAAAAUGACACACAUGAACUUAUUUACAAAACAGGAAGAGAGUCAUACAUAUAGAAAACUAUCUUAUGGUGCCAAGUGAGGAGAGGGUGUUGUGAUGGAUAAAUUGGGAGUUUGAGAUUUGCAGAUACUAGCUACUAUAUAUAAAAUAGAUAAACAAGUUUCUUCUGUAUAGCAGGGGGAACUAUAUUCAAUAUCUUGUAGUAACCUAUACUGAAAAAGAAUAUGAAAAGAAAUAUAUGUAUAUCCAUGUAUGACUGAAACAUCAUGCUGUACACCAGAAAUUGACACAACAUUGUAAACUGACUAUACUUCAAUAAAAAAAAAAAAACUUUCAUCCUGGAUUAUGCUGUGCAGUUGAAACAAAAAUCACAAAUUUGCAGUCAGUGAAUCUGCCUCAGUUUACAGAUGUGUUUGUUUAUCUAGCAUGGUGUUGAUCUAUACUGUUUCAAAAACUUGAAUUA
This is a long non-coding RNA of Camelus dromedarius (Arabian camel), 1402 nucleotides long. RefSeq lists it as uncharacterized. The record is from RefSeq and is a predicted model, not a curated record. Lineage: Eukaryota; Metazoa; Chordata; Mammalia; Artiodactyla; Camelidae. The transcript has 3 exons.